This 1426-nucleotide long non-coding RNA is filed under the name Hordeum vulgare. Its description in RNAcentral is "long non-coding RNA (HVUL_LNC006444)". Lineage: Eukaryota; Viridiplantae; Streptophyta; Magnoliopsida; Poales; Poaceae. The record is from RNAcentral.
ACCAUCCUGCCGCUCCCUCCACCUGUAGCGCCUGCUCCUCCCCUUCCUUUCCUCCUUCGCCGCCUCUGGUUCCAGACCAAGUGAUGUGGACGAGGAGAUGAUAGCUCGGGAGGCAGGCAAGAUGAACCAGGCCGUUCUCCACUCAUGAAAUCCCUAGCUCAUUUCGUUCCCCACGCCCGCCGCCGGCGACCUCGCUCCUCCCUCCCAUGGCGCCACCGCCCCAACCCAUAGCCGUCUCCCUCUCCUUUCCUUCCCUCUCCACUCCUUUCAAUGGUGGCAUAUCUGAAGGGGGCGAGGUCCUUGGUGUAGAGAGAGGUUGGCAGCAUUUGCUCCCUCCACUUCCAAUGACAGGUGCCUCCAUCUCUGCCAACCAACCUUUGGUGACCAGCAGGUAGGCAUCCAUGGCGGUAACAACAGAGGUAAGAUCUCUUUCCCUCUCGUGUGGUUCCUCCCUCCACUCCCCCUACUGGUCGCAUCAUGCAUAUUGAAACCCUAGCGUGCAGAUUUAUAGUUGUCUAAAAAGUAUUUUCAUGAAUUCGUUACACAUGGGUAAAGGACUGUUAGGUAAGAACAAUUGCAUCUAUGUGUUUUCAGCAAGAGAGAGAAUGACAGAGUUAACAUUCAGAUUUAAGCAAUAGAUUGAUGUAACAUUUGUUCUGGAGUUUAAUAACGAGAUAAGAUAAAGGUUCUUUUAAUUUACUGAAAUUAAAUUUUACUUGAGUGAUGUCCUAAGGUCAACCUAUAUACAUGCACAUGUCUGAACUGAAAAUACAGCCACACACCAACUUCACACAGUACAAAAUUGAUAUGAUGCUUGCGUUGUGACUGAGUGUCUUAUGGCGCAAUGUCUCUGAAUAAAGUGCAUGGGUUAGAAAUUAACUGAAAGUACUGAACAAAAUUAUUGACAUCAGAGAGGAGGAAAAUAUGAGUUUAAUUUCUCAGUUACAACAGUAAUUGUACUGUAUCUGUAACGAUAUAUUCUUAUCAUGAUAAUAAAUAUUUGGUUCACAGCUAUUGAUUAUCACAAAUAGAAACCAACAAAUGCAUUACAUAUGUUCAGUAAAGCCUUUCAAUAUUUUUUCGUCGGUGUCACAAAAUGAACACUCCAAGUGGUAUGUUUGAGCAUCCAUUCGUGAUUGCUCAUACGUGAUGUGGUGAUUACUUGGUAUGUAUGUCUUGCUUGCAUAUCUUAACUGAAGAUCCAUUUGUAAAGUACAAGACUGAGAAGUGAGAACUACCUUCAGGUUGCACAAAAGUUCCAAAUAAUCAUACUAAUGAUUUAGCCUUUCAGUUGAGCAUUGUAGAACUGUCACAAAUAUAAGAGUCUAUAUUUAAUCUGCAUGUUCUGAGAACAAGAACUUCAGCUUAUUUAACCCUGCUAUGGAAUAAUUAGCUCGAGAAUCACAAUGAGCCUUUUGUUUUCUUU